Molecule: long non-coding RNA, 189 nt
Organism: Pipistrellus kuhlii (Kuhl's pipistrelle)
Lineage: Eukaryota; Metazoa; Chordata; Mammalia; Chiroptera; Vespertilionidae
Exons: 3
Source: RefSeq, a predicted model, not a curated record
UUACUAAUCACCAGAGAAAUGCAAAUUAAAGCCACAAUGAGAUAUCACCUCACACCUGUCAGAAUGGCUAUCAUCAAUAUAUUAACAAACAACAAAUGCUGGUGAGAAUGUGGAAAAAAGGGAACCCUAGAACACUGCAGGUAGGAGUGCAGAUUGGUACAGCCACUGUGGAAAACAGUAUGGAAUUUC